Long non-coding RNA from Pantherophis guttatus, 482 nucleotides. RefSeq lists it as uncharacterized. NCBI's taxonomy places the organism in Eukaryota, Metazoa, Chordata, Lepidosauria, Squamata, Colubridae. The record is from RefSeq and is a predicted model, not a curated record.
GGACUGCACUGGUGGCUAUCUGGCUUCCGGAUGCAAUUCAAGAUAAUAUUCAUCAUCUGUGGUGGUGUCAGAGUCAGAAUCUGAAGAAUAUGCAGAGGCUUCUUCGUGGAAAUCAAAAGGUUCAUUUGGGAACUGUUCUUCUGUAGCACUCGAUUUCAACAGCUCCAACCCAUGAAAGGAGUACCCAUCUUCCCUUUUGAUAGACCUGGAGUUCUUUAAAAGACAUGGAUUCCACAACCGUCCUUCUGGACUGUUUUUCCUGUCUUUACCUGGGUGGGUAGUGAGGAUUACCAAAGUGCUGCACAGAAUGUACUACAGAAACUGCACACAACGUUAAAUAGCAAGAAGAUGAAGCUUUGAGGAAGCAGAGCAAGAAAGAAGACGAACUGCAUCUCAAGGACUAUCAUUCAUACUCCACUGGUUCAGCCUUAUAAUUCAAUACAGUCUUUUCAAACAACACUAAUACAAUUAACUGGAUGUUG